GCUGUACUGGUGAAGCGGUAUCACAUGUCGUUGUGGCCGACACGUUCCUGGUUCGACUCCAGGGUGCAGCA
Molecule: non-coding RNA, 71 nt
Organism: Gonapodya prolifera JEL478
Lineage: Eukaryota; Fungi; Monoblepharomycota; Monoblepharidomycetes; Monoblepharidales; Gonapodyaceae
Source: the annotation of a GenBank genome assembly